RNAcentral lists this ribosomal RNA (630 nucleotides) under Helicobacter pylori. RNAcentral's name for it is "bacterial SSU rRNA". It matches the Rfam family "Bacterial small subunit ribosomal RNA", at positions 839 to 1470 of the family's 1533-position model. Lineage: Bacteria; Pseudomonadati; Campylobacterota; Epsilonproteobacteria; Campylobacterales; Helicobacteraceae. The record is from RNAcentral.
UCCAGUAAUGCAGCUAACGCAUUAAGCAUCCCGCCUGGGGAGUACGGUCGCAAGAUUAAAACUCAAAGGAAUAGACGGGGACCCGCACAAGCGGUGGAGCAUGUGGUUUAAUUCGAAGAUACACGAAGAACCUUACCUAGGCUUGACAUUGAGAGAAUCCGCUAGAAAUAGUGGAGUGUCUGGCUUGCCAGACCUUGAAAACAGGUGCUGCACGGCUGUCGUCAGCUCGUGUCGUGAGAUGUUGGGUUAAGUCCCGCAACGAGCGCAACCCCCUUUCUUAGUUGCUAACAGGUCAUGCUGAGAACUCUAAGGAUACUGCCUCCGUAAGGAGGAGGAAGGUGGGGACGACGUCAAGUCAUCAUGGCCCUUACGCCUAGGGCUACACACGUGCUACAAUGGGGUGCACAAAGAGAAGCAAUACUGCGAAGUGGAGCCAAUCUUCAAAACACCUCUCAGUUCGGAUUGUAGGCUGCAACUCGCCUGCAUGAAGCUGGAAUCGCUAGUAAUCGCAAAUCAGCCAUGUUGCGGUGAAUACGUUCCCGGGUCUUGUACUCACCGCCCGUCACACCAUGGGAGUUGUGUUUGCCUUAAGUCAGGAUGCUAAAUUGGCUACUGCCCACGGCACACACA